AUAGACAAACAAUAGGUCUUAUACUACUACUAUUAAACAAGAUAAGAGUUUUUGGUGGUGGAUGCCUUGGGUCUGGAAGCCCAUGAAGACGGCUCCCCCUCUGGGUAGUCCCUUUAUUUAUUAUAUUUCAAGUUUAGAUCAACCUAUAGAAUAUAUCAUACA
This 162-nucleotide unclassified non-coding RNA is filed under the name Mycoplasmopsis arginini. RNAcentral describes it as "Mycoplasma arginini partial 16S-23S ribosomal RNA intergenic spacer". Lineage: Bacteria; Bacillati; Mycoplasmatota; Mycoplasmoidales; Metamycoplasmataceae. The record is from RNAcentral.